GGCCUCGGUACCCUGACCGCGCGAAGGUAGCAUAAUCACUUGUUCUUUAAAUAAGGACUUGUAUCAACGGCAUCACGAGGGUUACACUGUCUCCUUUUUCCAAUCAGUGAAACUAAUCUCCCCGUGAAGAAGCGGGGAUAAUACUAUAAGACGAGAAGACCCCAUGGAGCUUUAAACCCAACUACACCCCUAUUCUCAACAACUACUUAACCAAUUGGACACUGUAUGCUUGGUUUUAGGUUGGGGCGACCACGGAGUAAAAAAUAACCUCCAUGAUGAACGGACUUAUUCCUUAUCUAAGAGCCACACCUCUAAGAAUUAGAAUACUAACAUAAAAUGAUCCUUUCUUGAUCAACGAACCAAGUUACCCUGGGGAUAACAGCGCAAUCCAUUUCAAGAGCCCCUAUCGACAAAUGGGUUUACGACCUCGAUGUUGGAUCAGGAUAUCCUGGUGGUGUAGCAGCUACCAAAGGUUCGUUUGUUCAACGAUUAAAAUCCU
This 499-nucleotide ribosomal RNA is filed under the name Mantidactylus atsimo. RNAcentral describes it as "partial large subunit ribosomal RNA". It matches the Rfam family "Bacterial large subunit ribosomal RNA", at positions 1929 to 2597 of the family's 2925-position model. Lineage: Eukaryota; Metazoa; Chordata; Amphibia; Anura; Mantellidae. The record is from RNAcentral.